CAACAGGGAUUGCCUUAGUAACGGCGAGUGAAGCGGCAAAAGCUCAAAUUUGAAAUCUGGCACCUUCGGUGUCCGAGUUGUAAUUUGAAGAAGGUAACUUUGGAGUUGGCUCUUGUCUAUGUUCCUUGGAACAGGACGUCACAGAGGGUGAGAAUCCCGUGCGAUGAGAUGCCCAAUUCUAUGUAAAGUGCUUUCGAAGAGUCGAGUUGUUUGGGAAUGCAGCUCUAAGUGGGUGGUAAAUUCCAUCUAAAGCUAAAUAUUGGCGAGAGACCGAUAGCGAACAAGUACAGUGAUGGAAAGAUGAAAAGAACUUUGAAAAGAGAGUGAAAAAGUACGUGAAAUUGUUGAAAGGGAAGGGCUUGAGAUCAGACUUGGUAUUUUGCGAU
This 386-nucleotide ribosomal RNA is filed under the name Debaryomyces hansenii. RNAcentral describes it as "LSU rRNA". It matches the Rfam family "Eukaryotic large subunit ribosomal RNA", at positions 66 to 449 of the family's 3401-position model. Lineage: Eukaryota; Fungi; Ascomycota; Pichiomycetes; Serinales; Debaryomycetaceae. The record is from RNAcentral.